UCGAGAAUAUUCCACAAUGGACGAAAGUCUGAUGGAGCGACGCCGCGUGCAGGAUGAAGGCCUUAGGGUCGUAAACUGCGGUAGUACAGCAGCAAUGCAAAUGAGCGCUGUACGGAAAGAGGUGGGUAACUACGUGCCAGCAGCCGCGGUCAUACGUAGGUCCCAAGCGUUAUCCGGAAUUACUGGGCGUAAAGAGUUGUGUAGGUGGUUUAUUAAGUUGGUAGUGAAAGCGUGCGGCUCAACCGCAUAUCCAUUAUCAAAACUGGUAGACUAGAGGGCGAGAGAGGUUAUUGGAAUUUCUAGUGUAGGAGUGAAAUCCGUAGAUAUUAGAAGGAACACCGAUGGCGUAGGCAGAUAACUGGCUCGCACCUGACACUCAGACACGAAAGCGUGGGGAGCGAACGGGAUUAGAUACCCACGUAGUCCCUGAGCGGGCUGGCAAGGCGCAU
Molecule: ribosomal RNA, 449 nt
Filed under: uncultured bacterium
Lineage: Bacteria
Description: bacterial SSU rRNA
Rfam family: Bacterial small subunit ribosomal RNA
Source: RNAcentral